This 906-nucleotide long non-coding RNA is filed under the name Ixodes scapularis (black-legged tick). Its description in RNAcentral is "uncharacterized LOC120847873, transcript variant X2". Lineage: Eukaryota; Metazoa; Arthropoda; Arachnida; Ixodida; Ixodidae. The record is from RNAcentral.
AAUGUCACGUGUUACAUUUGAUGAGGGGCGGGAGAAUCCCUUCGGUUUCCCGCGUUUUGACCGUUGUUUACUUUCUUCGGCUCCUGGUGUUCCUGCAACCUUCGCAAGUCCACCUCUAUUUGUCGUGAACCCUCGUUUCUGAGCGUUGAUCUUCCCUUCUUGGUGUCUUGUUGAUUUUUUUCACGUAUUUAUUUCUUUCGCGAGAUUCCGAUUGCCUUUGUAAUUAGCCCAAAACUCGGGUGUACCACGUGCUUUGAUAUCUGGGGGUUCCGUGACUGGGACAACUGGGGUUUCUUGUGGAAAGACCUUCGGCAUUUUCCUAUUGAAACCAGACGUGGCUGUCGAGAUUCAGUCGAUUCGUUCUUUAGCGGCGAUUAAGCGUCUGUUCGUCAUGACUGCUGGAUUGACGGUCAUCCUCCCGAGGCAAAGCAGCCCGCGGUGGACGUGCCGAGGUUCUGCGGGAAAGAACAAGGAUGCCCGGGAGACGAACACUUUCUGCAGGAACCACAAGGCAGGCCAUGGUUUCAUCGAACAGCCGGGAGUGGAGCGGGAUGCUGAAGGAUAGAGGCGCUCACUUCAGUGAGCCCAGCUUGAACCCAACCAUUGGUGUCCUGGGCACCACUCUGAAUAAGCUGCUUCAGUUGUGACUUGUAGCACUAAGUUCCUGUCACCCAGUUCAUCGUCAUCUCGGAACCAAGGGCAUUGGUCCUGCCUGCUAGUUACCACUUGAAUAAAAGUUGGAAUGGUGCAGUGUGUUUGUGUAAAUAAACUGUUGAAGUUGUGACAGUAUUUUUGUUUUUGUAGGUAAUGAGAAUUAUUUACAUUGAAAGAUCCCAUCCAUCCAUCCAUCUAUGAUCCUUCAUGCCAUAAAGUAGUACUAAAUAAACUGUUGAAGUUGACAGUAUU